CCAUGAGUCACUGCUGCUCAGUCCACAAUUGCCAAGAUGGGAAGUCAGCCCAAGUGCCCAUCUACACAUGAAUGGAUUAA
Otolemur garnettii (small-eared galago) is the source of this 80-nucleotide long non-coding RNA. RefSeq lists it as uncharacterized. NCBI's taxonomy places the organism in Eukaryota, Metazoa, Chordata, Mammalia, Primates, Galagidae. The transcript has 3 exons. The record is from RefSeq and is a predicted model, not a curated record.